AUUGAACGCUGGCGGCAUGCCUUACACAUGCAAGUCGAACGGCAGCACGGGAGCAAUCCUGGUGGCGAGUGGCGAACGGGUGAGUAAUAUAUCGGAACGUGCCCAGUCGUGGGGAUAACGUAGCGAAAGCUACGCUAAUACCGCAUACGAUCUAUGGAUGAAAGCGGGGGAUCGCAAGACCUCGCGCGAUUGGAGCGGCCGAUAUCAGAUUAGGUAGUUGGUGAGGUAAAGGCUCACCAAGCCGACGAUCUGUAGCUGGUCUGAGAGGACGACCAGCCACACUGGGACUGAGACACGGCCCAGACUCCUACGGGAGGCAGCAGUGGGGAAUAUUGGACAAUGGGCGAAAGGCCUGAUCCAGCAAUGCCGCGUGAGUGAUGAA
This 382-nucleotide ribosomal RNA is filed under the name uncultured bacterium. Its description in RNAcentral is "bacterial SSU rRNA". It matches the Rfam family "Bacterial small subunit ribosomal RNA", at positions 30 to 412 of the family's 1533-position model. The record is from RNAcentral.